CAGUCGCCGCGGUAAUACGAAGGGUGCAAGCGUUAAUCGGAAUUACUGGGCGUAAAGCGUGCGUAGGCGGUUUGUUAAGUCUGUUGUGAAAUCCCCGGGCCCAACCUGGGAAUGGCAAUGGAUACUGGCAAGCUAGAGUGUGUCAGAGGAUGGUGGAAUUCCCGGUGUAGCGGUGAAAUGCGUAGAGAUCGGGAGGAACAUCAGUGGCGAAGGCGGCCAUCUGGGACAACACUGACGCUGAGGCACGAAAGCGUGGGGAGCAAACAGGAUUAGAUACCCCCGUAGUCCCUGUCUCUUAUAC
This 301-nucleotide ribosomal RNA is filed under the name uncultured bacterium. RNAcentral describes it as "partial 16S ribosomal RNA". It matches the Rfam family "Bacterial small subunit ribosomal RNA", at positions 509 to 807 of the family's 1533-position model. The record is from RNAcentral.